AUGGCUCCAGAAUUCUGGUGGGGAUGUAGUGAUGCCAUCCAUUGAGAGAGGGGACACAGGAAGAAGGGCAGGUAUGGAGAGGAUGGCAGCUGAUGGAUUUAGUUGGGACCUGUUGAAUUUGAGGUGAGUAGGGGGCCAUCCUGGUGGAGAUGACCUGGAGGCAGUUAGAAAUACUGUCCUUAAGGCCUCAUCAUAGACUGAGCUCCCCUAGGGAGAGAAAGGAAACGAGGAGAGGGAAGGGGAGGAGGGAGAGGAGGAGAGUGAGGGGAAGGGAGGGCCUAGAGCCCUGAGCAACCGCAACAGGAAAGAGACUAGGGAACAGUGGCCAAAGUGUCGGGGAGCAAAGCGAGAGAGGACUGGAGCCCCUUCCUCUCUCUGGUUCUCCUAGGCUCCUUCUCAGAGCUAAGAGGGUUUGCCUCAACCAUCUCCCAGACCUCCCCUGUUCUGGGGGCACAGCUUCUAGCGACAUAAGACAAGAGUGCAGCAAAGCCCUCUGGGAGCACAGGAAGUCCUUCAGCUUUCAGGAAUCAGAGGAGGCGUCAUAGCUUUGAAGAAUAAGGAGGAUUUCCACAGGCCCAGGAGCUGAGAAAACGGCCAGGCAGCCAGGAGGCAGCAGAAGCCGGAACACUACCCAGGGAUAUCUUCACACCAUCCCUUCAGCACAUUCAGGUUGACAAACCACUCUCUGUCGUCUCCUGGGCCCUCUGCAAUUACGGAUGAGGUAAGCAUGAUUACGCUCAUUUUAAGAAAAAGGAAACUGAAGCCAAGAGAUUUUCAGUGACUUUCCAGCUACCUUUCCUUAACAACCAAUAAUGUAAGCCAUGUUAAUUGAUGGGGGAGGCUGGACUAGGGAUGAUAACUUAGAAAAGUGACCCUAAUGGUGGAUUUGCAGGCACCGUUUCAGGCCUAGGAGGGAGACAUGUGGGGCAGUCAUUCCAAAACACCGCUCUAUGGAUAAGUGCCUAAGAAUCACCGGAGAAAUGAACAAAUACAUGGUUCUUUUGUGUACACACACAUGCACACGUAUGGUUUCUUGGGCUUUCUUCUAAAUGAUUCCAUAGCCUUUGGGCAGGCCCAGGAAUCUUUAUUUCUAAGAAGCACCUCAGGAGACUCUGACGUGUAGCCAGGUUUGGCAGCAACCGCUUUAGCGGAGCCCUGCAUUCUAAAGGCAGGGGUGGUCCUGGAAGGAAUUCUCUGGAGGACACGUGUUUGCAUGGGUUUAAACCCACUCCUGGUGUGAAUAGGAGACAAAGGGUGUGUGUGGAUAUUGGGCAGCUAAUAGUCAUUCACCACCACUUCCUCUUUUCUAUCAGAACCAGCAGAUGGGAGGCUGAGGUACGGGGGUUGAAUCUUGGCUAGUCUAAGCAGAUUUGACUCACUUGGAGAGCUUUUAAAAAAUACCAGUAAUCAGGCCCCACCUCCAGAGAUUAAAUUGAUCUGGGAGUACAGUCUGGGCACUGGUAAUUUUUCAAAGCACCUCAGGAAAUUCUCAUGUCUAGCCAGGGUUGAGGAGACUCCUCUAAGCCAGUCAUAACUCCAACCUCUUUGCCAUGCGGUUAGGUUCAGCUUGGGCAUGUGGCACAAUUCUGGCCAAUGAGAGGCAUGGACGGAAAGCUGCUGGGAGAUUCUGGGGGUGGCUGCCUUGUUUUUAAAAGGGGACAUAAGGCAAGGGUGUUACUUCUUCCAGUCUUUGGAUUUUAUUGAAUUAGAGUGUGAUACUCAGAGCUGCCACAGCCACCUUAUGACCAUGAGAGGGCAAGCCUGAAGACAAAAGCCGAGAGCUGAGAAUGGUGGAGCAGAAAGAUGGAAAGAACUGGAGUUCUUUUUUUUUUUAAACUUUUUCUUUUUCUUUCUUUUUUUUUCUUGCG
Molecule: non-coding RNA, 1868 nt
Organism: Equus caballus (horse)
Lineage: Eukaryota; Metazoa; Chordata; Mammalia; Perissodactyla; Equidae
Source: RefSeq, a predicted model, not a curated record